GUGCCCGCAUUGUCGUUUCUGUGUUCGUCGCCUUCUCGUGAACCUCCCUUUUGCUGUUGUGAUUUCUGCAAUUAAAUCCAUGAGUCUUUACACACACACACACACACUCAAUCUUCUAUAUAUAAUUCCUAGUUAAACUUUUAUAUGCAAGAUAAAAACCAAGCCCAGAAAAGGCCAAUUCAGAAUCAGUUUAGAGAUGCUCACAGAAGAUCCAUUGUACAGCGACAGUAACCUCCUCCCCUGCAGGCCUGUCAAGAUUUACAGGCGGGUGAUCAGUAUAUAUUUAGGCCGGCACUGGCUAAACAGCUCAUGUGCUGGAAGACUCUGUUCAGACCUCGGAGACCAUGUCACAUGAUAAUGUCACCGGCACCCACCCCCACCUCUAAACCACCUCAAUUCGGUGGUUGCAAACAGACUGUGGCCCAAUCAUCCCACCCACUCUCUAUUAUCUCUUCUGCGGUCUCUAACUAGCGAGGCACAUCUAUCAUGCUGCGGUUUCAAAU
Molecule: long non-coding RNA, 503 nt
Filed under: Populus tremula
Lineage: Eukaryota; Viridiplantae; Streptophyta; Magnoliopsida; Malpighiales; Salicaceae
Description: long non-coding RNA (PTRE_LNC001961)
Source: RNAcentral